RNAcentral lists this ribosomal RNA (395 nucleotides) under uncultured bacterium. Its description in RNAcentral is "bacterial SSU rRNA". It matches the Rfam family "Bacterial small subunit ribosomal RNA", at positions 505 to 898 of the family's 1533-position model. The record is from RNAcentral.
GUGCCAGCCGCCGCGGUAAUACGUAGGUGGCGAGCGUUGUCCGGAUUUACUGGGCGUAAAGGAUGCGUAGGCGGAUUUUUAAGUGAGAUGUGAAAUACCCGGGCUUAACUUGGGUGCUGCAUUUCAAACUGGAAGUCUAGAGUGCGGGAGAGGAGAGUGGAAUUCCUAGUGUAGCGGUGAAAUGCGUAGAGAUUAGGAAGAACACCAGUGGCGAAGGCGACUCUCUGGACCGUAACUGACGCUGAGGCAUGAAAGCGUGGGUAGCAAACAGGAUUAGAUACCCUGGUAGUCCACGCCGUAAACGAUGAGUACUAGGUGUAGGAGGUAUCGACUCCUUCUGUGCCGCAGUUAACACAAUAAGUACUCCGCCUGGGAAGUACGAUCGCAAGAUUAAA